GAUGGGUUGGGGAGACCAAUGCAGGAACUCCGAGCUGGCUCCUGGGUAUCAGCAUAGUGAGCUGGCAGUCUGUGAGAGUGUGAGGGGGAGAGGAGAGGAGAGGAGGAGAGAGAGAGAGAGAGAGAGAGAGAGAGAGAGAGAGAGAGAGAGAGAGAGAGAGAGAGAGAGAGAGAGAGAGAGAGAGAGAACGGGAGGGUGAGAGAGGCUGGCUGCUAGAGAAGAGGAGGAGAGCAGAGGGAGAGGGGGAGCGAGCUAGCGCUCCAAGCAUGAGGACGGGCUGCUCCCGGCUCAGUUAAUCUGGCUGUCAGUCGGUGUUAACGCUGCAGUUUAACUGCUCGGCUCCCCUUCCAAGAGAAACAAGAGAAACCUCACAGAAGGAAGGGAGGAAGGAAAGAAGCAAGCAAGGAAUUGCAGGAAGAAAAGAGCCGGCAGAGCAUCCAGAAGAAUCAAAGGGAGGGGAGGGAAGACCAAAUCUAUGGUUGGACCAGGGCUUCUUUUUCGCCAAUGUAAAAAGGAAUAUGCCGUACAUCUUUGCCUUUUUCUGCACCGGUUUUCUAGGUGCGGUUGUGGGUGCCAAUUUCCCCAACAAUAUCCAGAUAGGGGGAUUAUUUCCAAACCAACAAUCACAGGAACAUGCGGCUUUUAGGUUUGCUUUGUCACAACUCACGGAGCCCCCCAAGCUGCUUCCCCAGAUCGAUAUUGUGAACAUCAGCGACAGCUUUGAGAUGACUUACCGAUUCUGUUCCCAGUUCUCCAAAGGAGUGUACGCCAUCUUUGGAUUUUAUGAACGAAGGACUGUCAACAUGCUGACCUCCUUCUGUGGGGCCCUCCAUGUGUGCUUCAUCACUCCAAGUUUUCCCGUUGACACAUCCAAUCAGUUUGUCCUUCAGCUGCGCCCGGAACUACAGGAAGCUCUCAUUAGCAUUAUCGACCAUUACAAGUGGCAGACUUUUGUCUACAUUUAUGAUGCUGACCGGGGCCUGUCAGUCCUGCAGAGAGUCUUGGAUACAGCCGCCGAGAAGAACUGGCAGGUGACGGCUGUCAACAUUCUAACAACCACGGAGGAAGGAUACCGGAUGCUCUUUCAGGACCUGGAGAAGAAAAAGGAGAGGCUGGUGGUGGUGGACUGUGAAUCAGAACGCCUCAACGCCAUCCUGGGCCAGAUUGUGAAGCUAGAAAAGAACGGCAUCGGGUACCACUACAUCCUCGCCAACCUGGGCUUCAUGGACAUUGACUUAAAUAAGUUCAAGGAGAGUGGAGCCAAUGUGACAGGUUUCCAACUGGUGAACUACACAGACACGAUCCCAGCCAGAAUCAUGCAGCAGUGGAGGACAAGUGACGCUCGGGACCACACCAGGGUGGACUGGAAGAGGCCAAAGUACACUUCUGCUCUUACCUAUGAUGGUGUGAAGGUGAUGGCGGAGGCCUUCCAGAGCCUGCGGAGGCAGAGGAUUGACAUAUCCCGGCGAGGGAAUGCUGGGGACUGUCUGGCUAACCCAGCUGUGCCCUGGGGCCAAGGGAUCGACAUCCAGAGAGCCCUGCAGCAGGUGCGCUUUGAAGGUUUGACAGGAAAUGUGCAGUUUAACGAGAAAGGGCGCCGGACCAACUACACCCUCCAUGUGAUCGAAAUGAAGCAUGAUGGAAUCCGCAAGAUUGGUUACUGGAAUGAAGAUGAUAAAUUUGUCCCCGCAGCCACGGACGCUCAGGCUGGAGGGGACAACUCAAGCGUCCAGAAUAGAACCUACAUCGUCACGACUAUCCUCGAAGAUCCUUACGUGAUGCUUAAAAAGAAUGCCAACCAAUUUGAAGGCAAUGACCGCUAUGAGGGCUACUGCGUGGAACUGGCUGCGGAGAUCGCCAAGCACGUGGGCUAUUCCUACCGACUUGAGAUUGUCAGCGACGGCAAAUACGGAGCCCGGGAUCCUGACACAAAGGCCUGGAAUGGCAUGGUGGGAGAGCUAGUCUAUGGAAGAGCAGAUGUGGCGGUGGCCCCCUUGACCAUAACCUUGGUCCGGGAGGAAGUCAUCGACUUCUCCAAGCCAUUCAUGAGUUUGGGAAUCUCCAUUAUGAUUAAGAAGCCACAGAAGUCCAAGCCAGGUGUCUUCUCCUUUCUUGACCCUUUGGCCUACGAGAUCUGGAUGUGUAUAGUGUUUGCCUACAUUGGAGUGAGCGUCGUCCUCUUCCUGGUCAGCCGUUUCAGUCCUUAUGAAUGGCACAGUGAAGAGUUUGAAGAAGGACGAGAUCAGACAACCAGUGACCAGUCAAAUGAGUUUGGCAUAUUCAACAGCCUGUGGUUCUCGCUGGGGGCCUUCAUGCAGCAAGGAUGUGACAUUUCCCCCAGGUCCCUGUCUGGACGCAUCGUCGGCGGUGUCUGGUGGUUCUUCACUUUGAUUAUCAUCUCCUCAUACACAGCCAACCUGGCUGCCUUCCUGACUGUGGAAAGGAUGGUGUCUCCCAUCGAGAGUGCAGAGGACCUGGCAAAGCAGACGGAAAUUGCUUAUGGGACAUUGGAAGCAGGAUCCACUAAGGAGUUCUUCAGGAGGUCUAAAAUCGCUGUGUUUGAGAAGAUGUGGACAUACAUGAAGUCUGCAGAACCGUCUGUGUUUGUUCGGACCACAGAGGAGGGCAUGAUCAGAGUGAGAAAGUCUAAAGGCAAAUAUGCCUACCUCCUGGAGUCCACCAUGAAUGAGUACAUUGAGCAACGCAAGCCCUGUGACACCAUGAAAGUGGGAGGUAACUUGGAUUCCAAAGGCUAUGGCAUUGCAACACCCAAGGGGUCCGCCCUGAGAAAUCCAGUAAACCUGGCAGUGUUAAAACUGAACGAGCAGGGGCUUUUGGACAAAUUGAAAAACAAAUGGUGGUACGACAAGGGCGAGUGCGGCAGCGGGGGAGGUGACUCCAAGAGGUCCCGUAAACCUAGCGGUUUUGAAACUCAGUGAGCAAGGCGUCUUAGACAAGCUGAAAAGCAAAUGGUGGUACGAUAAAGGGGAAUGUGGAAGCAAGGACUCCGGAAGUAAGGACAAGACCAGUGCUCUGAGCCUGAGCAAUGUGGCAGGCGUGUUCUACAUCCUGAUUGGAGGGCUGGGAUUGGCCAUGCUGGUUGCCUUAAUCGAGUUCUGCUACAAAUCCCGUAGCGAGUCGAAGCGGAUGAAGGGUUUCUGUUUGAUUCCACAGCAAUCCAUCAAUGAAGCCAUACGGACAUCGACCCUCCCCAGGAACAGCGGGGCAGGAGCCAGCGGAGGAAGUGGCAGUGGAGAGAAUGGCAGAGUGGUCAGCCAGGACUUCCCCAAGUCCAUGCAAUCCAUUCCCUGCAUGAGCCACAGUUCAGGGAUGCCCUUGGGAGCCACAGGAUUGUAACUGGAGCAGACAGGAAACCCUUGGGGAGCAGGCUCAGGCUUCCCCAGCCCCAUCCCAAGCCCUUCAGUGCCAAAAACAAAGAAAUGAAACACCGCCUCCAACCACCACAACCAUAUGGAGGGCAAUUCAGCCAAUGUCCCUGAAGAAUUAAAAAAAAAAAAAUUCCACUAGACCACCAUCCCUUUUGUUUUGGGAUUUUUUUUCAACCUUUUCCAUUUGCUGAGUGAAGAUGGUCACUAACUCUAUGCUGCAAUAACGGGAGAGAUCCUGUCCAAGGAAGUCUAACGUCUAUAAAAAUGGAGUCACUGGGAUAUCAAUGAAGAAAUCAAACUGUUUAAUUUUAAUUCAGUUGUUAAUGUGUCUUAGUGUGUGCAUUAUUUUCUUACUAUUAACCCAUGGUUUGCAGGCUCUGUUCAACCCUUUUCCUUCUUCCUAUCCCCAGCCCCCACCCCCACCCCACCCCUUCCCAUCACUUUUCAGUUUCAGAUUGAAGACUCACGAUUGGUUCCACCUUACAAGCAAGGAAAGGAAUAUUGACCUUCAAACUCAUUCAGUGUUGGAGCUCUCUAUGAGGCCUUCUAUCCUUUGGCCCAUGCCUUGGAUGGAGACAGACACUACUGGAGAAGGGGGCUGCCUUCCCCAGAAAGAAUACUACCUAAAUGCUGGUUCAUCAGAGAGUAACUGUGAAGAGCAUCUCAGAUAAGGGUUCUUAAAAGGGGGGAUGGGCAGAGUACAGUAGAGGAGGACUUGUUAGGUUCAUUGUUCCCCGGAAGAAGCUUCCUGCAAUGCCCAGGAGCAUCCCACAGGCAAUAGAGUACCAAUAUGGUAGACCUCUUUCACAGUCAAUCUCAGCCCUGGAAAUUAUGUUCUACUAUGCUCAGGCCCAAAGGCAAUGUGGGGGCCAAAGGGCAACUGGCCUUCUGACCCACUAGAGCCUUGCAAAGAGUUGGCAGUCAGGGGGGUGUCAUACAUGAUUCUUGCCUUUUCCUUUGCUUGAUGUCUAUACUGGAUCCCCAUGGUGGAGUAGGACUCUCUGUGGAGCCUCUGGCAUAAGAGGAAAUGUUGCCCGAGCUAAGAGCAAAAGGAAGGUGAUAGGGAAUUAUGGAAGUCCAUCCAAGCCCCUGACACAGAGCCUUCUGUGCUGUUUCCUGUCCUAGGUUUGAGAGACCAAAUAUGAACUUGUGAGUUGUGUCAAUGCAGAGAACCGGGGUUUUGUGUUAAUAGAGUAUUGUUUUAGCAUGUGAUCAGAUCUUAAGAAAGAAAGAAAGAAAGACAGCAAAGCCUGAAUUCUUUUUGAGAGAUGGAGAUGAGGUACAUCAGGGGACCUUAAGAUGCCUGAGCCCAUCUUUUAACUCUAACACAGGGAUACUAACCUUUUUCCCUGGCUAAGACAGACUGAGGGCAUUGCAUUACAAUGGCCAGAAACUACACCCAUGAGUGCAACGACCAAGGUGAAGGACAGCCAGACAGGAAAGGUGACAAAAGCCACCCUGAGUGAUACUAGGCUGCCUGAACCUUUGGGUGGGAGUGGAAGUCCCUAGCACACAGCUUUGUGGAGACCUCCACUCUCACUCUUGGUGCAACUGACUUCCACUUCUUAUGCAGCCACUCCCAGGUGCAUGCUUCAGUGAGUGCCACAUGCCACUAGCUUUUACCAAUAACCAUAUUCUGGCUUAUUCUCCUACCCUCUGCUUCCAUUCAAUCUUCCCCACUAGGGGUUAUCAUUGGCAAUGGACGAGCUGAAGAUUUUGGAGCCUAUCCAUGGUUCAGGGCAGUAGAACUGGCUUCCUCUAUGGAUGCUUCCAGCGGACAACCACCAUCUCUGUGUCUCUCUCAUUCUCUCUUCACCUGCCAUAGCAAAGAAACAUCCCAGAAUCGACCCUUCUCCCAUUGAUCCAUGUCUCCCGUGUCACCAUGGGCAUGGCAUGUGAAGCAAUGUCCUGCAGAUGGAUUACCACCUUUUAUUUCUGCCAGCUAACAUCCUCCCAGCCUCCUGCCUACUACUGUAGACUCCGGUGUGACCCACCACUGGGGAGUUCACACCUAGAAAGAGAUGGAACUAAACUCUACUAUCAGCUGCUUCAAAAACCUUUUGUCUACGGCCUGGGAAGAUGUUCUCCAGCCCCUGAGCCUAUUGGUUGGAUAGAGAGAGACUGUGGUGGAAAUGAGGGUCUUGCUGGGAGGGGUCCAUGACUCCGGGGAAGACGCUUCUCAACGAGGGAUGUGUGGAAAGAAAACAGAAGUGAGAAAGAAGUUACCUUGUAUUAUGUAUUUUUACUACACUUUUCUUAAAAAUGGAGCAGUGGGAAAACUCUGAAAGAGAUUGACAUUUUUCUCAACAGGAAUCCAUACUUAACAGUUCUGGCUUUCAUUAAAUUUUGCUCUUUGGUACCUGGGCCUUUUAUUUAACAUAUAUAUUUAUUUUAACUCUCUUGGAAGAUGUGUGAGGGAAAAAAAUAACUCUCAUUUGAUCAGACACUAAAUAUUUGGGGUAGGGAUUUCUGUCUUAUUUUCAAAUAGCCAGGGUUUUUCUUCAUUUUUUUGGUAUUUGCAUAAAGUGAACAAUAUCACAAGAAUUAAAUCACUGUGGACCCAU
RNA transcript from Mus musculus (house mouse), 5953 nucleotides. It is a transcript of the gene named glutamate receptor, ionotropic, AMPA1 (alpha 1), with no coding region annotated. The transcript has 17 exons. NCBI's taxonomy places the organism in Eukaryota, Metazoa, Chordata, Mammalia, Rodentia, Muridae. The record is from RefSeq and is marked validated.